ACCUCGGAUCAGGUAGGAAUACCCGCUGAACUUAAGCAUAUCAAUAAGCGGAGGAAAAGAAACCAACAGGGAUUGCCUCAGUAACGGCGAGUGAAGCGGCAACAGCUCAAAUUUGAAAUCUGGCCCCCAGGCCCGAGUUGUAAUUUGUAGAGGAUGAUUCUGGCGACGCGCCUUCCGAGUUCCCUGGAACGGGACGCCAUAGAGGGUGAGAGCCCCGUCCGGUCGUGCGCCUAGCCUCUGUGAAUCUCCUUCGACGAGUCGAGUAGUUUGGGAAUGCUGCUCUAAAUGGGAGGUAUACGUCUUCUAAAGCUAAAUACCGGCCAGAGACCGAUAGCGCACAAGUAGAGUGAUCGAAAGAUGAAAAGCACUUUGAAAAGAGGGUUAAAUAGUACGUGAAAUUGCUGAAAGGGAAGCGCUUAUGACCAGACUUGGGCGUGGUGAAUCAUCCGGCGUUCUCGCCGGUGCACUUUGCCUGUCCAGGCCAGCAUCAGUUCUCCCCGGGGGAUAAAGGCUUCGGGAAUGUAGCUCUUUCGGGAGUGUUAUAGACCGUUGCGUAAUACCCUGGGGGGGACUGAGGUACGCG
This 583-nucleotide ribosomal RNA is filed under the name Geosmithia lavendula. RNAcentral describes it as "eukaryotic LSU rRNA". It matches the Rfam family "Eukaryotic large subunit ribosomal RNA", at positions 1 to 597 of the family's 3401-position model. The record is from RNAcentral. Lineage: Eukaryota; Fungi; Ascomycota; Sordariomycetes; Hypocreales; Bionectriaceae.